UACGAAGGGUGCUAGCGUUAUUCGGAAUUACUGGGCGUAAAGCGCACGCAGGUGGUCUGUCAAGUAGGAUGUGAAAUCCCCGGGCUCAACCUGGGACCUGCAUCCGAAACUGGCAGGCUAGAGUCUUGUAGAGGGGGGUAGAAUUCCCGGUGUAGCGGUGAAAUGCGUAGAGAUCGGGAGGAAUACCGGUGGCGAAGGCGGCCCCCUGGACAAAGACUGACGCUCAGGUGCGAAAGCGUGGGGAGCAAACAGG
Molecule: unclassified non-coding RNA, 253 nt
Filed under: uncultured Enterobacteriaceae bacterium
Lineage: Bacteria; Pseudomonadati; Pseudomonadota; Gammaproteobacteria; Enterobacterales; Enterobacteriaceae
Description: contains 16S-23S intergenic spacer region
Rfam family: Bacterial small subunit ribosomal RNA
Source: RNAcentral